RNAcentral lists this ribosomal RNA (357 nucleotides) under uncultured Thalassiosirales. Its description in RNAcentral is "bacterial SSU rRNA". It matches the Rfam family "Bacterial small subunit ribosomal RNA", at positions 1038 to 1401 of the family's 1533-position model. Lineage: Eukaryota; Bacillariophyta; Thalassiosirophyceae; Thalassiosirales. The record is from RNAcentral.
GUGGUGCCAUGGCUGUCGCCAGCUCGUGUCGUGAGAUGUUGGGUUAAGUCCCGCAACGAGCGCAACCCUUGUUUUUAGUUGCCUUUUAAGGAACUCUAGCAAGACUGCCGGUUAUAAACCGGAGGAAGGCGGGGAUGACGUCAAGUCAGCAUGCCCCUUACACCCUGGGCUACACACGUGCUACACUGGGCUGGACAAAGGGAUGCUUCUCUGUGAUGGUUUGCUAAUCUAUAAACUCGUUCUAAGUUCGGAUUGUAGGCUGCAACUCGCCUCCAUGAAGGCGGAAUCGCUAGUAAUCGCUGGUCAGCUACACAGCGGUGAAUCCGUUCCCGGGCCUUGUACGCACCGCCCGUCACA